AGUCGAACGAAGCUUGACGGAUGAUUUCUUCGGAAUGAAACCAGAUAUGACUUAGUGGCGGACGGGUGAGUAACACGUGAGCAACCUGCCUUUCAGAGGGGGAUAACGGCUGGAAACGGUCGCUAAUACCGCAUGAUGUGUUCGGAUGGCAUCAUCUGAACAUCAAAGAUUUAUCGCUGAAAGAUGGGCUCGCGUCUGAUUAGAUAGUUGGUGGGGUAACGGCCUACCAAGUCUACGAUCAGUAGCCGGACUGAGAGGUUGAACGGCCACAUUGGGACUGAGAUACGGCCCAGACUCCUACGGGAGGCAGCAGUGGGGAAUAUUGCACAAUGGGGGAAACCCUGAUGCAGCAACGCCGCGUGAAGGAUGACGGUUUUCGGAUUGUAAACUUCUUUUCUUAGUGACGAAGACAGUGACGGUAGCUAAGGAAUAAGC
RNAcentral lists this ribosomal RNA (435 nucleotides) under uncultured bacterium. RNAcentral's name for it is "bacterial SSU rRNA". It matches the Rfam family "Bacterial small subunit ribosomal RNA", at positions 60 to 491 of the family's 1533-position model. The record is from RNAcentral.